Molecule: long non-coding RNA, 298 nt
Filed under: Theobroma cacao (cacao)
Lineage: Eukaryota; Viridiplantae; Streptophyta; Magnoliopsida; Malvales; Malvaceae
Description: long non-coding RNA (TCAC_LNC005254)
Source: RNAcentral
CAACAUUUUCAUUAUGCUGUUUGAUAUGUGCAAGUGUUGGAUUUACAUGUCUUAUUACAGGAUCAUCACCUUCAACUUCAACAAUCUCCUAGAGGUCGAAAGCAUGCAAGUAUGCCUUCAUCUUCACUGCCCAAAUAACAUAGUUUUCCCCACUAAAGACAAGUGGAACUGUUGCAUUGAAACUAGAAGAAGUCAUAGAAAAUAAUAAGAUUUAGAGAUUAAAAAAUGAAAAUAUAAAAGAUAACCUUCCUCAAGCAAAGUUUAACGCCUUAAGAUCCAUUGUACAGCUCUAAUACCA